UACGGAGGGUGCGAGCGUUAAUCGGAAUUACUGGGCGUAAAGGGUGCGUAGGUUGUUGAUUAAGUUAUCUGUGAAAGCACUGGGCUUAACCUGGUAAUGUCAGAUGAUACUGAUUGACUGGAGUAAGGGAGAGGGUAGUGGAAUUUCCGGUGUAGCGGUGAAAUGCGUAGAGAUCGGAAGGAACACCGGUGGCGAAGGCGACUACCUGGCCUAUUACUGACACUGAGGCACGAAAGCGUGGGGAGCAAACAGG
This 253-nucleotide ribosomal RNA is filed under the name uncultured Legionella sp. RNAcentral describes it as "partial 16S ribosomal RNA". It matches the Rfam family "Bacterial small subunit ribosomal RNA", at positions 524 to 776 of the family's 1533-position model. Lineage: Bacteria; Pseudomonadati; Pseudomonadota; Gammaproteobacteria; Legionellales; Legionellaceae. The record is from RNAcentral.